This 26-nucleotide small RNA is filed under the name Arabidopsis thaliana (thale cress). RNAcentral describes it as "ATSL215520". The record is from RNAcentral. Lineage: Eukaryota; Viridiplantae; Streptophyta; Magnoliopsida; Brassicales; Brassicaceae.
UUCGAGUCUACAGCUGAGAAGCUUAC